RNAcentral lists this RNase P RNA (430 nucleotides) under Xanthomonas cucurbitae. RNAcentral's name for it is "RNase P RNA component class A". It matches the Rfam family "Bacterial RNase P class A". Rfam says of the family: Ribonuclease P (RNase P) is a ubiquitous endoribonuclease, found in archaea, bacteria and eukarya as well as chloroplasts and mitochondria. Its best characterised activity is the generation of mature 5'-ends of tRNAs by cleaving the 5'-leader elements of precursor-tRNAs. Cellular RNase Ps are ribonucleoproteins. Lineage: Bacteria; Pseudomonadati; Pseudomonadota; Gammaproteobacteria; Lysobacterales; Lysobacteraceae. The record is from RNAcentral.
GGAGUCGGCCAGACAGUCGCGUCACUCGUAAGAGUGCCGAGGAAAGUCCGGGCUCCAUAGGGCAAGGUGCCAGGUAACGCCUGGGCGGCGCAAGCCGACGGAAAGUGCAACAGAAAGAUACCGCCUACGUCCCUCGUCACCCCUCCUCUGCCGCCACUGGAACGUGCCAGCGAUGCAUCGCAUCGCCAAGUGCGCUCGGAGGCCGCAGAGGGGUGGCGAGGGGCCGGUAAGGGUGAAAUGGUGCGGUAAGAGCGCACCGCGAGUCCGGUAACGGACCGGCACGGCAAACCCCACCUGGAGCAAGACCAAAUAGGGAUCCAUUGGCGUGGCCCGCGCUGGAUCCGGGUAGGUUGCUUGAGCGCUGCGGUGACGUAGCGCCUAGACGAAUGACUGUCCACGACAGAACCCGGCUUAUCGGCCGGCUUCGCCG